RNAcentral lists this ribosomal RNA (630 nucleotides) under uncultured archaeon. RNAcentral's name for it is "bacterial SSU rRNA". It matches the Rfam family "Archaeal small subunit ribosomal RNA", at positions 147 to 774 of the family's 1478-position model. The record is from RNAcentral.
UAAUAUCGGAUAACGCAUAUGUGAUGGAAUGCUUUAUGCGUAAAACGGAUCCGUUUGCCCAAGGAUGGGUCUGCGGCCUAUCAGGUAGUAGUGGGUGUAAUGUACGUACUAGCCAACCACGGGUACGGGUUGUGAGAGCAAGAGCCCGGAGAUGGAUUGUGAGACAUGAAUGCAGGCCGUACGGGGCGCAGCAGGCGCGAAAACUUUACAAUCCGGGAAACCGUGAUAAGGGAACACCGAGUGCCAGCAUCAUAUGCUGGCUGUCCAGAUGUGUAAACUACAUUUGUUAGCAAGGGCCGGGCAAGACCGGUGCCAGCCGCCGCGGUAACACCGGCGGCCCGAGUGGUGACCGUUAUUAUUGGGUCUAAAGGGUCCGUAGCCGGUUUGGUCAGUCUUCCGGGAAAUCUGAUAGCUUAACUGUUAGGCUUUCGGGGGAUACUGCCAGUCUUGGAACCGGGAGAGGUAAGAGGUACUACAGGGGUAGGAGUGAAAUCCUUGUAAUCCCUGUGAGACCACCUGUGGCGAAGGCGUCUUACCAGAACGGGUUCGACGGUGAGGGACGAAAGCUGGGGGCACGAACCGGAUUAGAUACCCGGGUAGUCCCAGCCGUAAACUAUGCUCGUUAGGUGU